AAGAGCUCAAAUUUGAAAUCUGGCCCCCCCGGGGGGUCCGAGUUGUAAUUUGCAGAAGGUGUCUCGGGAGAGUCCCCGGCCCAAGUCCCCUGGAACGGGGCGUCGCAGAGGGUGAGAAUCCCGUACGGCCGGGGCCGACCCCGCACGAGGCCCUUUCGACGAGUCGAGUUGUUUGGGAAUGCAGCUCAAAACGGGUGGUAAAUUUCAUCUAAAGCUAAAUACCGGUCGGAGACCGAUAGCGCACAAGUAGAGUGAUCGAAAGAUGAAAAGCACUUUGGAAAGAGAGUUAAAAAGCACGUGAAAUUGUUGAAAGGGAAGCGCUUGCGGCCAGACUCGCCCGCGGGUGCUCAGCCGUCCCCCACGGGGGCGGUGCACUCACCCGCGGCCGGGCCAGCAUGGGUUUCGGCGGCCGGACAAAGGCUCGAGGAACGUGACUCUCCUCCGGGGGAGUGUUAUAGCCUCUUGUGCAAUGCGGCCAGCCGGGACCGAGGAACGCGCAUUCUUGCCAGGAUGCUGGCGUAAUGGCUGCCAGCGACCCGUCUUGAAACACGGACCAAGGAGUCGAUCAAAGUCGCGAGUGUUUGGGUGUCAAACCCGCACGCGCAGUGAAAGCAAACGGAGGUGGGAGCCCCCCGGGGUGCACCUCGACCGAUCCUGAAGUUUACGGAUGGAUUUGAGUACGAGCGAUUUUGAUCGGACCCGAAAGAUGGUGAACUAUACGUGGCUAGGGCGAAGCCAGAGGAAACUCUGGUGGAGGCUCGUAGUGAUUCUAACGUGCAAAUUGAUCUCCAAAGCUGCGUAUAGGGGCGAAAGACUUAUCGAACUAUCUAGUAGCUGGUUCCUGUCGAAGUUUCCCUCAGGAUAGCAGAGACGAUCUUCAGUUUUAUGAGGUAAAGCGAAUGAUUAGAGGUUCGGGGGCCGAAACUGGCCUUCACCUAUUCUCAAACUUUAAAUAUGUAAGAAGCCCUUGUUACUUAAUUGAACGUGGGCCUUCGAAUGUACCGUCUCUAGUGGGCCAUUUUUGGUAAGCAGAACUGGCGAUGCGGGAUGAACCGAACGCGGGGUUAAGGUGCCGGAAUGCACGCUCAUGAGAUACCACAAAAGGUAUCGUUAAAUUAAGACAGCCGGUCGGUGGCCACGGAAGUUGGAAUCCGNUAAGAGUGUGUAACAACUCACCGGCCGAAUUUAGCGGUCCUGAAAAUGGAUGGCGCUCAAACGUGCUACCUAUACCCCGCCACC
RNAcentral lists this ribosomal RNA (1239 nucleotides) under Coenogonium subzonatum. RNAcentral describes it as "LSU rRNA". It matches the Rfam family "Eukaryotic large subunit ribosomal RNA", at positions 103 to 1356 of the family's 3401-position model. The record is from RNAcentral. Lineage: Eukaryota; Fungi; Ascomycota; Lecanoromycetes; Ostropales; Coenogoniaceae.